GACUCCAGUAAGCCCUGGUUCUUCUUUCCCUGGUCUGGCCUCACAGGAGGAGUUGGCCAGCAGCUGUGGGCCACUCUGGCUUUAGCCACACGCGGGAGGAGAGAUGCCCUGGACUGUCCUGCUUUUCGCAGCUGGCUCCUUGGCCAUCCCAGCGCCGUCCAUCCUGCUGGUGCCCCCGCACCCCAGCAGCCAGAAGGAUCCCAUCCACAUCGUGUGCAUGGCCCCCAAGGACUUCCUGGGGGCGAAUUUUACACUGUACCGCGGUGGGCAGGUGGUCCAGCUCCUGCAGGCCCCUGCAGGCCAGCUUGGGGUCACCUUCAACUUGAGCGGCAACAGCAGUGAGGCUCCAGGGGGAGCAUUCUACUGCCAGUACAGUGUGAUAGGGGAGCACAGCCAGCCCCAGCCAUCGGACUUCAGCGAGUCCAUACAUGUUUCCUUCCCAGCUGGACCGCUGUGUCACCAUCAAUCAGAACUUUCCGCUGCAAAGAGAUCCUUGUUGCCAGCGGAGGCACAUACGCUGUGUGAAGGAACAGUCUCUGUGGACUUCCUGGCCAUGAGCUCCACUGUCAAAGGCCCCCUUCUCUCACCUUAGUCUUGUGGUCUUGGGGUAGGGAAGUGGCAACAGCCCUCCUGCCCCAGAUGAAUGAAUGAACAAGGGCUGACACUGUGAGAAUCCAAGUGUGUGUCUCUCCUUCCUGCUCCUGGUUUAGCUCCUGACCUCUGCUGAGGUCAGGACAUCUCCUCCUGGACCCCCGGAGAGAUCCUCUGUCUCUCCAGGGAGGGGCAGCUGAGUCCUUUGCAGAGAAGAAAAUUCUGGAGCUAGGGCUUCCAUGCUUCUGUUCCUGACCUCUGCGUGGGCCUCAGAGUCCACCAUGUGGCUGGGGGUGGAUGUUGUCUGACCCCCUAGGACCCAGGCUGAAACCACCAGGACGCUUCAGGUUGCAAGUAACUGAAAACUUGACUCAAACUGGCGGUCUAACUAUACCCAAACCACACGGCUGGAGCACAUAGGAGAGAGCUGGCUCCCGAAAGUGCCCACUUGGAUCCUGGCACUUUCCCUA
Trichechus manatus latirostris (Florida manatee) is the source of this 1061-nucleotide RNA transcript. It is a transcript of the gene named chromosome unknown C19orf38 homolog, with no coding region annotated. The record is from RefSeq and is a predicted model, not a curated record. The transcript is spliced from 5 exons. Lineage: Eukaryota; Metazoa; Chordata; Mammalia; Sirenia; Trichechidae.